GAUGAACGCUAGCGGCAGGCCUAACACAUGCAAGUCGAGGGAGGAGCUUUCGGGCUUCGACCGGCGUACGGGUGCGUAACGCGUAUACAAUCUGCCUUUCACAUAGGGAUAGCCCGAAGAAAUUUGGAUUAAUACCUAAUGGUAUAUAGAUGUGGCAUCAUAUUUAUAUUAAAGCUGAGCCGGUGAAAGAUGAGUAUGCGUUCUAUUAGCUAGUUGGAGAGGUAACGGCUCCCCAAGGCGACGAUAGAUAGGGGUUCUGAGAGGGAUAUCCCCCACACUGGUACUGAGAUACGGACCAGACUCCUACGGGAGGCAGCAGUGAGGAAUAUUGGACAAUGGUCGGAAGACUGAUCCAGCCAUGCCGCGUGCAGGAAGACGGCCUUAUGGGUUGUAAACUGCUUUUGCAGGGGAAGAAUAAGGACUACGUGUAGUUUGAUGACG
Molecule: ribosomal RNA, 441 nt
Filed under: Capnocytophaga sp. oral taxon 329
Lineage: Bacteria; Pseudomonadati; Bacteroidota; Flavobacteriia; Flavobacteriales; Flavobacteriaceae
Description: bacterial SSU rRNA
Rfam family: Bacterial small subunit ribosomal RNA
Source: RNAcentral